UACGUAGGGGGCGAGCGUUGUCCGGAGUUACUGGGCGUAAAGGGCAUGCAGGCGGUCGGACGCGUUUCGGGUGACAGCGGGUGGCUUAACUACCCGAGUGGUCGAAAGACGGUUUGACUUGAGGACUCGAGAGGGACACGGAAUUCCGGGUGGAGUGGUGAAAUGCGUAGAGAUCCGGAGGAACACCGAAGGCGAAGGCAGUGUCCUGGCGAGUGACUGACGCUGAGGUGCGAAAGCCAGGGGAGCGAACGGG
RNAcentral lists this ribosomal RNA (253 nucleotides) under uncultured bacterium. RNAcentral describes it as "partial 16S ribosomal RNA". It matches the Rfam family "Bacterial small subunit ribosomal RNA", at positions 524 to 776 of the family's 1533-position model. The record is from RNAcentral.